Orbicella faveolata is the source of this 1836-nucleotide long non-coding RNA. NCBI's taxonomy places the organism in Eukaryota, Metazoa, Cnidaria, Anthozoa, Scleractinia, Merulinidae. The record is from RefSeq and is a predicted model, not a curated record.
UCUGUAAAAGAUCCGAUCAGCCAAAAAUAGAACACAACAAUGAAGCAAGGCUGAUUAAUACGUAGAAAGCGGGACAACGACAUGAAAGAAUCUAAACUGGGCUAAAUUCAUUCUGGAUUUUUGCUUAUUGCUAGGGGUCGCGCGUUUUGCGUGUGACAUUGACCAAUGAGUUUCAUCUGAGGUCAUUAUCAUGUGCAUUUAGUAGACAAUCGGUCCACAAGCCAGUUGUUUUACUUUUUGCUGUUACACCGUGCUGACGAAACCCAACCAGGUCGAAACAGCUGUCCAUGGUUGCAAUUCUUGGCUUUCAGUUCGGACUCUAUCAAGUCGUUGUCCCGUCUAUAAGCUUUCUACGUAGUGUAAUCAACCUUGCUUCAUUGUUAUAGAAAAUAGAUGAAAGUAACUAAUCAGAUCGUGUUUUUUUGCCAUUAGUGUGACUGUUAUAAUUACUAACGUAUGCGCCGACUUCGAGUUUGAAAAUGACCGAGGAACUAAUUUUAUAGAUUUGAUAUUUAGCGAUGUAACUAAGUUGGGAAAAUCAUCGCUACAUUUUCAUACUAUUAUUAUCAGUAGUUGGAAUUAACCGUGCGAAAGCCUCUAAAAGUUUUGUUUCAGAUUAUGACAUGCCCUACUAGCGUCCGCUUUUUGAAAGAACGUUAACAUUAACAAUCAAUAACUCGGACGAAAUUCGGCAAAUUACUCCAGCUGUUAUGUGCUAAAAGCUCUAAGCUUGGAAUAUUAUUUCCAGCCAUUUUUUGCACACAACCCUUAGCUUUACUCCAAACAAUUACGUAACAGUUUGUACAAGUCAUAUUUUAGCCAACAAGCUGGUUCACGUUGUUUUUCGCUGAUUUUCUCAGCCUCAGAUAGCGCCGGAAUUAAUACGAAUACCACAAGCCAAUCCGUCGCACAGUCUUCUUCACUGAGUUCACAUACAGAAUAUAUUCUCAAAAUUUGGGUGUCAAACAUCUCAGUUUUGAAGCAUUUUCUCUUUCAGGUUAAUGAGCCACAACACGGGCCGAGUGAAAAUAGAUAUGGUGUUUAUAAUAUUGAGAGAAGUCAACUUCGUCCUAAUUAUGAGAUUGAUUUUUGUGACCUUGAACCAAUCAAAGUGUUCCAAUUGUCAACGAACUGAAUCUCCUGAUGCCAUUGAGAAGUUGACUGAAGGACUGCAAUAUUUACUAAGUAAUUACGAUUCGCGAAUUAGGCCUAACUACACAGGUAAGACAUUCUUCUUUUCGAUUUCGUUUAAAUGAAAAAUUCCAUAAUUGUUUAUAUAAACUUAACGCCUUACACAGUCUAACGACUAAGUCUUAUGGCCUGACCGAAUUGUUCAAUAGAAUCAAGUUUAAUUCUGUGGAGGGUCAUUUAAUCAAGCCGGAUUAACGUAAAUUGUCUUUUUGGUUUGAACUUUUAGUCAGUGCAUCAAACUCCCCCUUUCACCCCUCCCUCUUCCUCGUGUAUACGACAUCUCCUCGAGCGAGGAAAAAUAGAAAAAUGCUGAUCUGACGCGAAAAGUCUGUUUUUCCUAGUAAGCGCAAAUUAAAUACAGCCUUCGGCAAAGAGGACACAUUAUUCUGGCUAAUAAAAGUCUCAAUAAAUAGAUACAAACGCUAAAUGAUUGUCCAAACAGGUACAAGGUGAAAAUAGAUCUACAUACAUUUCAAGUUAUAUAGAAAGUUCAGCAGAGCGUCCUUUUUGUUUUAUUCAAGGUAGUCCAGUUAAAGUCCUGGUUGACAUCUCUGUGGCAUCUUUUAGCAGCAUCAGGGAGGUAGAUAUGGAAUUUGGAUUGGACAUGUUCUUUCGUCAGCACUGGCGAGACACGAGGCUUUCUCA